This 438-nucleotide ribosomal RNA is filed under the name uncultured bacterium. RNAcentral describes it as "bacterial SSU rRNA". It matches the Rfam family "Bacterial small subunit ribosomal RNA", at positions 338 to 793 of the family's 1533-position model. The record is from RNAcentral.
CCUACGGGAGGCAGCAGUGGGGGAUAUUGCACAAUGGGGGGAACCCUGAUGCAGCGACGCCGCGUGAGUGAAGAAGCGCCUCGGCGCGUAAAGCUCUGUCAGCAGGGAAGAAGAUGACGGUACCUGACCAAGAAGCCCCGGCUAACUACGUGCCAGCAGCCGCGGUAAUACGUAGGGGGCAAGCGUUAUCCGGAUUUACUGGGUGUAAAGGGGGCGCAGACGGCGCGGCAAGUCCGGAGUGAAAUCCCAGGGCCCAACCCUGGGGCUGCUCUGGAAACUGCCGGGCUGGAGUGCUGGAGGGGCAGGCGGAAUUCCUAGUGUAGCGGUGAAAUGCGUAGAUAUUAGGAGGAACACCGGUGGCGAAGGCGGCCUGCUGGACAGCGACUGACGUUGAGGCCCGAAAGCGUGGGGAGCAAACAGGAUUAGAUACCCCUGUAG